CCAGCAGCCGCGGUAAUUCCAGCUCCAAUAGCGUAUAUUAAAGUUGUUGCAGUUAAAAAGCUCGUAGUUGGACCCGUGGUGGGUCCCGGUGUCCAUUUUGGUACACUUGGGACCCGCCAUCUUUGGGUGGAUCCUGUGUGGCAUUAGGUUGUCGUGCAGGGGAUGCCCAUCGUUUACUGUGAAAAAAUUAGAGUGUUCAAAGCAGGCUUAUGCCGAUGAAUAUAUUAGCAUGGAAUAAUGAGAUAGGACCUUGGUACUAUUUUGUUGGUUUGUGUUCUAAGGUAAUGGUUAAUAGGGACAGUUGUGGGUAUUUGUAUUCCAUUGUCAGAGGUGAAAUUCUUGGA
RNAcentral lists this ribosomal RNA (344 nucleotides) under uncultured eukaryote. RNAcentral's name for it is "SSU rRNA". It matches the Rfam family "Eukaryotic small subunit ribosomal RNA", at positions 567 to 924 of the family's 1831-position model. The record is from RNAcentral.